This 497-nucleotide ribosomal RNA is filed under the name uncultured bacterium. Its description in RNAcentral is "partial 16S ribosomal RNA". It matches the Rfam family "Bacterial small subunit ribosomal RNA", at positions 28 to 507 of the family's 1533-position model. The record is from RNAcentral.
GAUGAACGCUGGCGGCGUGCCUAAUACAUGCAAGUCGAGCGAACAGACGAGGAGCUUGCUCCUCUGACGUUAGCGGCGGACGGGUGAGUAACACGUGGAUAACCUACCUAUAAGACUGGGAUAACUUCGGGAAACCGGAGCUAAUACCGGAUAAUAUAUUGAACCGCAUGGUUCAAUAGUGAAAGACGGUUUUGCUGUCACUUAUAGAUGGAUCCGCGCCGCAUUAGCUAGUUGGUAAGGUAACGGCUUACCAAGGCAACGAUGCGUAGCCGACCUGAUAGGGUGAUCGGCCACACUGGAACUGAGACACGGUCCAGACUCCUACGGGAAGCAGCAGUAGGGAAUCUUCCGCAAUGGGCGAAAGCUUGACGGAGCAACGCCGCGUGAGUGAUGAAGGUCUUCUGAUCGUAAAACUCUGUUAUUAGGGAAGAACAAAUGUGUAAGUAACUAUGCACGUCUUGACGGUACCUAAUCAGAAAGCCACGGCUAACUACGUG